UCCCUGGUGGUCUAGUGGUUAGUACUUGGUGCUUUCACCACUGUGGCCCAGGUUCAAUCUCUGGUCUGGGAA
This 72-nucleotide transfer RNA is filed under the name Sus scrofa (pig). It matches the Rfam family "tRNA". Rfam says of the family: Transfer RNA (tRNA) molecules are approximately 80 nucleotides in length. Their secondary structure includes four short double-helical elements and three loops (D, anti-codon, and T loops). Lineage: Eukaryota; Metazoa; Chordata; Mammalia; Artiodactyla; Suidae. The record is from Rfam by way of RNAcentral.